AAGUUCAAACAUUUAACUCGCCGACGGAGAAGAAGAACAUUGGCAAAGGAGUUGCUUGAAACCCUAGAUGAAGAUAUCCCAUUUUUGCCUAUUAGAGAUAUGCUUCAGCUUGUUGAUUAUAAAAAGUGGUUGGAGAAAAAGGAAGCAAAAGAAGCACGAGGGCUUCAAAUCCAAGAAAGGUAUUGUAUUCCUUUUUUUUCA
Molecule: long non-coding RNA, 201 nt
Organism: Tarenaya hassleriana
Lineage: Eukaryota; Viridiplantae; Streptophyta; Magnoliopsida; Brassicales; Cleomaceae
Exons: 3
Source: RefSeq, a predicted model, not a curated record